RNAcentral lists this ribosomal RNA (433 nucleotides) under uncultured bacterium. RNAcentral's name for it is "partial 16S ribosomal RNA". It matches the Rfam family "Bacterial small subunit ribosomal RNA", at positions 29 to 507 of the family's 1533-position model. The record is from RNAcentral.
AACGAACGCUGGCGGCAUGCCUAACACAUGCAAGUCGAACGAGACCUUCGGGUCUAGUGGCGCACGGGUGCGUAACGCGUGGGAACCUGCCCUUAGGUUCGGAAUAACCCCCCGAAAGGGGUGCUAAUACCGGAUAAUUUCUUCGGACCAAAGAUUUAUCGCCUUUGGAUGGGCCCGCGUUGGAUUAGCUAGUUGGUAGGGUAAAAGCCUACCAAGGCGACGAUCCAUAGCUGGUCUGAGAGGAUGAUCAGCCACACUGGGACUGAGACACGGCCCAGACUCCUACGGGAGGCAGCAGUGGGGAAUAUUGGACAAUGGGCGAAAGCCUGAUCCAGCAAUGCCGCGUGAGUGAUGAAGGCCUUAGGGUUGUAAAGCUCUUUUACCCGGGAUGAUAAUGACAGUACCGGGAGAAUAAGCUCCGGCUAACUCCGUG